RNAcentral lists this ribosomal RNA (483 nucleotides) under uncultured bacterium. Its description in RNAcentral is "partial 16S ribosomal RNA". It matches the Rfam family "Bacterial small subunit ribosomal RNA", at positions 28 to 523 of the family's 1533-position model. The record is from RNAcentral.
GACGAACGCUGGCGGCGUGCUUAACACAUGCAAGUCGAACGAUGAAGCCGGAGCUUGCUCCGGUGGAUUAGUGGCGAACGGGUGAGUAACACGUGAGCAAUCUGCCCUUGACUCUGGGAUAACUGCGGGAAACUGUAGCUAAUACCGGAUACGACACCUUGGGGCAUACCAGGGUGUGGCAAGAAUUUCGGUCAAGGAUGAGCUCGCGGCCUAUCAGCUAGUUGGUGAGGUAAUGGCUCACCAAGGCGACGACGGGUAGCCGGCCUGAGAGGGUGACCGGGCACCCUGGAACUGAGACACGGUCCAGAGUCCUACGGUAGGCAGCAGUGGGGAAUAUUGCACAGUGGGCGAAAGCCUGAUGCAGAAACGCCGCGUGAGGGAUGAAGGCUUUCGGGUUGUAAACCUCUUUUAGCAGUGAAGAAGCGAAAGUGACGGUACCUGCAGAAAAAGCACCGGCUAACUACGUGCCAGCCGCCGCCGUAA